RNAcentral lists this long non-coding RNA (717 nucleotides) under Anas platyrhynchos platyrhynchos (common mallard). Its description in RNAcentral is "lncRNA (ENSAPLG00000027118.1)". The record is from RNAcentral. Lineage: Eukaryota; Metazoa; Chordata; Aves; Anseriformes; Anatidae.
CUCGGCUUCAUGAGUAGAGAAUUGUUUCCAGGAACUCCUUUUCCCCAGCAGGUCUGCCAGAUCCCACUUUGCCCGCGCUAAUUAGACAGGCAGUCUGCCUUAAAUCAUGCUGGGUAGGGUUCAGUGCUGAGCUUGAAUUACCAGAGGACUCUUACUUUAUCAACAAGAGUAUAUUGGGCUGGAACCUGCAAUCCAAGUGCCCUGGCGGUCUAUAUUUCACUUAUUUCCAGAAGAAAAUCUCAAGUUCAGAGCAGCAAGUCAGACAAGGGUUUGUCAUCUUUGAGAUUUCCCCCUUAAGAAGUGGGAUUAGAUUUCCAAGAGACUUUUGCACCUACAAAUAUGUACAGACUAAGAACUGACAGAAGGCACUACUUCCAGAUGCAUUUCCUCAGUCUUGCAGGUAUGAUUAUUGGGGAGAUUCCUCUAACUGCAAAUUCUUAACAAGUCAGUCCAAAGAACUAUACUACUUUUGUUAUUCCUUGUGCUGUUUCUGACACAGAGUUCUGUGUGAACUUUUAGCAGUCUGGUGUGCCACAUUUCAGGUGCUGCACCAUUAUUCUUUUCAAUUCUUCCCUUUGGUUUCUUUUAUUCUUGUUCUGCUGUUACACUAAUCAGGCUGUGAAUGGUUUUCCUAAGUCUGUACCUUCCUGCAUAAGCACUGCUAUUUGAGCCAAGCUGGCAGUACUGCACAAAUAAAUGUUUUGCAUUAUCUUUUCA